GGUGAAUCAUACUAGAUUAUUAAUAUUUAAGAUUGGCCUAUAGGUUGGAUUUUUUUGAAUUUUGAAAGAAAAAAGUUUUACUGUUGGAAGCUGCAUUGUCCUACUUAUAAAAUAAUCUGUACAUCAAAUUAUCUAAAUAAAAUUACAAUCAAUAUUGAUGGGUCAGGUUGGUCUCCAUUCUCCAAGCAAAGGAGGGAUCUGGGUCUAAUAUUGAUUUCAGAUCGGGUUGGAUUAUGUCAUUGAGUAUAAGAUCUAAAUCAAUAUAUAAAAGAAUGCAUAUCGGAUU
RNAcentral lists this long non-coding RNA (286 nucleotides) under Elaeis guineensis (African oil palm). Its description in RNAcentral is "long non-coding RNA (EGUI_LNC019382)". Lineage: Eukaryota; Viridiplantae; Streptophyta; Magnoliopsida; Arecales; Arecaceae. The record is from RNAcentral.